AGAGUUUGAUCCUGGCUCAGAACGAACGCUGGCGGCGUGGAUAAGACAUGCAAGUCGAACGGAUUUACCUGAGUAGCAAUACAAGGGUAGAUCAGUGGCGCAAGGGUGCGUAACACGUGGGCAACCUGCCCUGGAGACUGGGAUAGCCCGCCGAAAGGCGGAUUAAUACCGGAUGCGGCUACCGAAGGAUUCUUCGGGACGCUAAAGGUGGCGCAAGCUACCGCUCCUGGAUGGGCCCGCGGCCUAUCAGCUAGUUGGUGGGGUUACGGCUCACCAAGGCGAUGACGGGUAGCUGGUCUGAGAGGACGACCAGUCACACUGGAACUGAGACACGGUCCAGACACCUACGGGUGGCAGCAGUCGAGAAUUUUUCUCAAUGGGGGAAACCCUGAAGGAGCGACGCCGCGUGGAGGAUGAAGGUCUUCGGAUUGUAAACUCCUGUCAUUGGUGAACAAGAUUUUGCCGUUAACUGCGGUGGAAUUUGAUAGUAGCCGAAGAGGAAGGGACGGCUAACUCUGUGCCAGCAGCCGCGGUAAUACAGAGGUCCCGAGCGUUGUUCGGAUUCAUUGGGCGUAAAGGGUGCGUAGGCGGCGGGGAAAGUCUGAUGUGAAAUCCUGGGGCUCAACCCUGGAACUGCAUUGGAUACUUCCUUGCUAGAGUACUGGAGAGGAAACUGGAAUUUACGGUGUAGCAGUGAAAUGCGUAGAGAUCGUAAGGAAGACCAGUGGCGAAGGCGAGUUUCUGGACAGUUACUGACGCUGAGGCACGAAGGCCAGGGGAGCAAACGGGAUUAGAUACCCCGGUAGUCCUGGCAGUAAACGGUGCAUGUUUGGUGUGGGAGGAAUCGACCCCUUCCGUGCCGGAGCUAACGCGUUAAACAUGCCGCCUGGGGAGUACGGUCGCAAGAUUAAAACUCGAAGAAAUUGACGGGGGCCCGCACAAGCGGUGGAGUAUGUGGCUUAAUUCGAUGCAACGCGAAGAACCUUACCUAGGCUUGACAUGCAUCUCUAAGUCGGUGAAAGCCGGCGAGUCCCGCAAGGGACAAUUUGCACAGGUGCUGCAUGGCUGUCGUCAGCUCGUGUCGUGAGAUGUUGGGUUAAGUCCCGCAACGAGCGCAACCCCUGUGGCCUGUUGCCCCCUACCCUUGUGGUAGAGCACUCUGGCCGGACUGCCCUGUGAAACGGGGAGGAGGGUGGGGAUGACGUCAAGUCAGCAUGGCCCUUACGCCUAGGGCUGCACACGUACUACAAUGCUCAGUACAGAAUGAACCGAGACCGCGAGGUGGAGGAAAUCAAAGAAAACUGAGCUCAAUUCGGAUCGCAGGCUGCAACUCGCCUGCGUGAAGCCGGAAUCGCUAGUAAUGGCGCAUCAGCUACGGCGCCGUGAAUACGUUCCCGGGCCUUGUACACACCGCCCGUCACAUCAUGGGAGUCGCUUGUACCCGAAGCCGUCCUUCACCGGCCGUCUAAGGUAUGAGCGGUAACUGGGAUGAAGUCGUAACAAGGUA
This 1507-nucleotide ribosomal RNA is filed under the name metagenome. RNAcentral's name for it is "bacterial SSU rRNA". It matches the Rfam family "Bacterial small subunit ribosomal RNA". The record is from RNAcentral.